GUGCCUCAGAGGCUCUCUGCGAAGAGGAACAUGACCAUCUGCCUGAGGCCUACAUGGUAAAAGUCUUGUGCCACUAAUUAGUGGACACUGCCCAGGUGAAGCACGGAUGGCAUGUCACAAUGGAAUUCUACGUCAGUGAUCGUGUCACAGUGCCGAAGCAGGAGUAGCCCUCCCAGUGUUCAGGAGUUCCAGUGACAGCCUAUGUCCCCAAACCCAAAGCAAAGAUCCUCACCACCUACAGCUGGCUGAACCCUGGGAACUCCCUUGAGGGUCAUGUUUUGAUAACACUGGAGAAAAGUAAUUUUCCUAUUUUUAAGUCCCUGUUCCAUACAGUGAAAAGGCAAGGGGUACAUCCUCAGGAGAAGGAACAUCAGAAGUUCCAGUUAAGAGCAGCAAGUAAAUAUGUGCCAGAAAGACUCAGUUGUCCGGAUCAGUGUGACCUGAGAAAAUAGAACCUCCUCCUCC
Molecule: long non-coding RNA, 465 nt
Filed under: Fukomys damarensis (Damara mole-rat)
Lineage: Eukaryota; Metazoa; Chordata; Mammalia; Rodentia; Bathyergidae
Description: lncRNA (ENSFDAG00000026524.1)
Source: RNAcentral